This 155-nucleotide microRNA precursor is filed under the name Tupaia belangeri (northern tree shrew). RNAcentral's name for it is "miRNA (ENSTBEG00000019868.1)". The stretch from base 52 to 103 matches the Rfam family "mir-1302 microRNA precursor family". The record is from RNAcentral. Lineage: Eukaryota; Metazoa; Chordata; Mammalia; Scandentia; Tupaiidae.
AAUGCAGGACACCCAGUUAAAAUCUAAAUUUUAGAUAAACGAGAUUUUUUUUUUUUAGUACAAGUAUAUCCCAUACAAUAUUUGGGAUAUACUUAUACUAAAAAUAAAAUUAUUGUUUAUCUCAAAUUCAAAUUUAACUGGGCAUCCUGUAUUUU